This 468-nucleotide ribosomal RNA is filed under the name uncultured bacterium. RNAcentral's name for it is "partial 16S ribosomal RNA". It matches the Rfam family "Bacterial small subunit ribosomal RNA", at positions 28 to 507 of the family's 1533-position model. The record is from RNAcentral.
GACGAACGCUGGCGGUGUGCUUAACACAUGCAAGUCGAACGGUAAGGCCCUUUCGGGGGUACACGAGUGGCGAACGGGUGAGUAACACGUGAGUAACCUGCCCUCAUAUCUGGGAUAACAGUCGGAAACGGUUGCUAAUACUGGAUAUGAGCUUGCAAGGCAUCUUGUGGGUUGGAAAGAUUUUUUUUGGUUGGGGAUGGACUCGCGGCCUAUCAGCUUGUUGGUGAGGUAGUGGCUCACCAAGGCUUCGACGGGUAGCCGGCCUGAGAGGGCGACCGGCCACAUUGUGACUGCGAUACGUCCCACACUCCUACGGGAGGCAGCAGUGGGGAAUAUUGCACAAUGGACGGCAGUCUGAUGCAGCAACGCCGCGUGCGGGAUGACGGCCUUCGGGUUGUAAACCGCUUUCAAUUGUGACGAAGCUUUUUUGUGACGGUAGCAGUAGAAGAAGCACCGGCUAACUACGUG